GUCGAGCGGGCGAGGUUGCUUCGGUAACUGAGCUAGCGGCGGACGGGUGAGUAAAGCUUAGGAAUCUGCCUAUUAGUGGGGGACAACAUUCCGAAAGGGAUGCUAAUACCGCAUACGUCCUACGGGAGAAAGCAGGGGAUCACUUGUGACCUUGCGCUAAUAGAUGAGCCUAAGUCGGAUUAGCUAGUUGGUGGGGUAAAGGCCUACCAAGGCGACGAUCUGUAGCGGGUCUGAGAGGAUGAUCCGCCACACUGGGACUGAGACACGGCCCAGACUCCUACGGGAGGCAGCAGUGGGGAAUAUUGGACAAUGGGGGGAACCCUGAUCCAGCCAUGCCGCGUGUGUGAAGAAGGCCUUUUGGUUGUAAAGCACUUUAAGCGAGGAGGAGGCUUACCUGGUUAAUACCUGGGAUAAGUGGACGUUACUCGCAGAAUAAGCACCGGCUAACUCUGUGCCAGCAGCCGCGGUAAUACAGAGGGUGCGAGCGUUAAUCGGAUUUACUGGGCGUAAAGCGCGCGUAGGUGGUUAAUUAAGUCAAAUGUGAAAUCCCCGAGCUUAACUUGGGAAUUGCAUUCGAUACUGGUUAGCUAGAGUAUGGGAGAGGAUGGUAGAAUUCCAGGUGUAGCGGUGAAAUGCGUAGAGAUCUGGAGGAAUACCGAUGGCGAAGGCAGCCAUCUGGCCUAAUACUGACACUGAGGUGCGAAAGCAUGGGGAGCAAACAGGAUUAGAUACCCUGGUAGUCCAUGCCGUAAACGAUGUCUACUAGCCGUUGGGGGAUUUGAUCCUUUAGUGGCGCAGCUAACGCGAUAAGUAGACCGCCUGGGGAGUACGGUCGCAAGACUAAAACUCAAAUGAAUUGACGGGGGCCCGCACAAGCGGUGGAGCAUGUGGUUUAAUUCGAUGCAACGCGAAGAACCUUACCUGGCCUUGACAUAGUAGAGACUUUCCAGAGAUGGAUUGGUGCCUUCGG
This 970-nucleotide ribosomal RNA is filed under the name Acinetobacter sp. NF007. RNAcentral describes it as "bacterial SSU rRNA". It matches the Rfam family "Bacterial small subunit ribosomal RNA", at positions 61 to 1023 of the family's 1533-position model. The record is from RNAcentral. Lineage: Bacteria; Pseudomonadati; Pseudomonadota; Gammaproteobacteria; Moraxellales; Moraxellaceae.